Molecule: long non-coding RNA, 762 nt
Organism: Cucumis melo (muskmelon)
Lineage: Eukaryota; Viridiplantae; Streptophyta; Magnoliopsida; Cucurbitales; Cucurbitaceae
Exons: 3
Source: RefSeq, a predicted model, not a curated record
AUAAAAGGAAGGAAAAGAAGAAGAAAAGUUUCAUUUUACUUUUCUUCUUCCCUUCCCUCCACCGCCAAGGUUUUCUCCAUCCAUUUCUACCACUUUCUUCACCAUUUCUGCACCAACUUUCAGAGAAAUUUCAAAGGGAAGAAGGCUGAGAAAGUAAGAAGAAGAAGUUCAAGAAAUUUUGUUGAAGAAAGACAAGGGAAUUGCAAGCAAAGCUUCAUCCUUGGCAAAAAUUGAUUCACACAGCACACCUCUAAUGUUCUAUUGAUUUUGAGCUACAAAAAAAGAAUUAAGAGGCCAAGAGAAAAUAGGUCGAAUUUACACAUCGGAAAACUAGUACAAGACUGUAGAGAUCGAGUUCCCGGUGCCUGAUAGACUGCCUUAGUUUGCUGAAGUUUCGAUAUUGAUUGCCAGUACGUGGUUAGAGUUGUGCAUAGAGUCUGUUGUACUACAAUGUAUAUAUCUUUGUAUGAUAUAGAUACUUCACAAUUUGUGUAAGUUUUAGGAGCUGCGGUUGUAUAAACCUUUGUUGGUUAUAUUUUAGUUAAGGUGUCUCUAAGUUUACUUGUGAAAUUAGUUAUUUUCGAGAUACAUUUCAUGCAUGUAUAUGAUUAGUCUAGGAUUCGUUACGUUGUGUGCAUGUUUAAUUGUUUAUAUAUGAGGUUGGCAAGUUCAUCAUAUUAAAGUUUUAAGUAGAGUCGACAGAUACAUGUAAAGAAAAGCGUUGUCCAUCGACUUCACGCCAUCUUUCAGACUAAGCUAGUA